UACGGGGGGGGCAAGCGUUGUUCGGAAUCACUGGGCGUAAAGCGCACGUAGGCGGAUUGCUAAGUCAGGGGUGAAAUCCUGGAGCUCAACUCCAGAACUGCCUUUGAUACUGGCGAUCUUGAGUCCGGGAGAGGUGAGUGGAACUGCGAGUGUAGAGGUGAAAUUCGUAGAUAUUCGCAAGAACACCAGUGGCGAAGGCGGCUCACUGGCCCGGUACUGACGCUGAGGUGCGAAAGCGUGGGGAGCAAACAGG
RNAcentral lists this ribosomal RNA (253 nucleotides) under uncultured bacterium. RNAcentral's name for it is "partial 16S ribosomal RNA". It matches the Rfam family "Bacterial small subunit ribosomal RNA", at positions 524 to 776 of the family's 1533-position model. The record is from RNAcentral.